UAAAGAAUAUCUCGCCACUCCUUGACGAGUAGCUGUCAAAUACUGCCAUUUUUUGACGUCACGUGACCGGCCCGGACCAGGGCUUCCUCGUGUCUCGCCUCGUCCCACACUGAAGCCCUGGGAACGAGGUUGCCAUAAGUGCUGACGUCCAGAAUUUGAAAAGGCCAGCCCAUUUGGAUAUUGCCCUAAAUAAUAUCUGUAUUACCCGAUGACUAGGAAGGCACAGGGAUAUUGCAGAAAGCAACCUAAUACCGUUCACUCAACAUGGUCAAUGGGCAAGUGAACUAGGUGAGGCUGUCCUCAUACAACUAAUGCACCUAUCAAUGUUAAGCCCCAGAGGGAGGGUGGACAUAGGUGGGGCAUUUGAUUUUUUGAGCAAAUUUUCAAUCAAAUGCCCCACCGUCGGGCAAUAAAUAUUGGUCAAAUACCCCACCAUUUUGCAAUAAAUACUAUAUUAAUAAGUCAUAAUCGGUUCAAAUUUCCCCAACUUGGGGCCAAAAUGGUAAUCG
Molecule: non-coding RNA, 509 nt
Organism: Paramuricea clavata
Lineage: Eukaryota; Metazoa; Cnidaria; Anthozoa; Malacalcyonacea; Plexauridae
Source: the annotation of a GenBank genome assembly